GGGACGGAACGGGACGGGAUGGGGGGAAAUAGCCGAGUCACGGCCUAGAGCCCGUGACGGCAGGGCGGGGUAGCUACCGCCCGUCUCGGGCAGGGUACCUCGCGCUCUGUCAGGGACGGUCUCCAAUGCCAGAUGCCUUCCUCCUUUCAGAACCUCUGUUGGCGGACCCUGCGGUUGCCUCAUGCAUCACACCUUACUGCUUCAAGCCGGUUACUUUCCUUACUUCAGGGAAAAAGAACGCAAAUUAAGUUCCCUCUUACGUGGCCGUGCAGGGCAAAAAUUUCGGGGUUUUGCCCGCCAGUCCCAAGUGAAGGCGUAGAGAUGGACUCCGUGCUGGAGAAGGUCCCCCGUAGCUUUGUGUGGUGCAGGACACAAAUCAUCCUUAGCUUUAACCAACACCACAGCCUACUUGGAAUACAAAGGUCUAUGUAAAUAUACCCUCUGACUGCAGCUGCUGUGGAAAAAGAAGAAAUUAUAAGGAAGGUUUACUCAUGUACUAUAAAACUGGGAGAAAAUGAGAGACAGCAGGUGAAAGAAGCAGCAUUUACAGAAGAAGAAAAAGGAAAAUCACUGAAGGAAAUGCGAUUCAGGAAGACACUUGAAAACAUGUCUGCAGUAAAACCAAUUGUACCAAAUGUCUUCAGAUGGGAACAUUUCAAAGAAGAAAAUGCAUAAGAAAAGAAAGAGAGGCAAAGAUUUGUUGAGAUUCUUCAGGCUCCAGUGUCAUGACAGUUUUGAAGAUACAGAUGUACAGAUCAAUAACCUUAAAUGUCAUAAAAAUGGCCCUAACCAAUCUAUUUGUUCUGGGAUUCCAGCCUACUAAUGAACAUAGUGUAAUUUUACAUCAUCCCUUUUGUAAUGAAGAAAAAGGUCUUCUGGAAAGACCCUCAAAGCAAGCAUAAAAUUUGGCUUAAAACAUACAGAGGAAAUAAAAAAUAGAUAUGAACCCAGUUGCACAAUGGCUGGGAGGACUUGCUCUUUCACAACACAAAUAUUCAAUACUAAUGCUCAUCUUGCUUUGUGCUCCUGGGUGACUCAGAAGGAUCCAGACUGUGGUUUUGAGAAGUGCAGUAACUUCAGUGCUGCCAUAAAGAACCCCCUGUUGUCUCACCAGUUUUGUCCUGUACAGACUUGCUGAACAGACACAUCUCAUAGUACAGCAGAGACCAGCCCAGAUACCAUGCACAGACAACUGCUGGGGGAUGAGCUUCACUGGCUCACAGAGUUUCACUGCAGCCUGCUCUCAGCAGCAGCAAAUCAUAAUAUCAGACACUUGCUUAGAAAACACUAAAUCCUCAAAACAUUGCUUGUCAAGUUGGAUCUCUCACCCAGGCUAACUUUCUUCAGUGUGAAAGUCACCAGAGCUAAACUGGUAUUAAACAGAUUCCUCCAAAAUAUCCAAAGCAGUUUCUUUCUGUUGACUUUUAAUAAUAAUUUCUCUGUACCUAUUUCUAGUUGUUCAGUCACAAUAGCUCAGUGCAGGCAAAACUGAACUGAUAUGAAACACAAGCAAAUAUGUCUUCAAGGAAUGUUGUAAUUUUGCAAAGCCAGUACUCUUGACUGACAGAUAACAAUAAAAAAUGAAAAAAAUACUAAUUCUAAACUUUUUGCAAAUGACUUUUGAAACAUCUAUUCCAUGCCAUUGAGUGGCACAACCAGGCAGUACUAUUGUAAGAGUCAACACUUCUAGAAAUCGUUUUCCAUGCUAAAAUUGAGAGUCACUCCAGCACACUCUCUUUAAAGGCAGCAGGUAAAAGAAAGGGCCAAUUAAAAAGGAGGUUUCAGCUUAAAAACACAUUAAAAUAUAAGUGUUUCAAAGAAAACUAUAAAAUAAACAAGACUUCUCACUGUUAGCCUUUAAUUUGGUGGGGCUUGUUAUGAAAUCUAACAUUAUCCAAAUUUUGUGAUGUACAUUCUGCAAUCUCAUCUUAAAGCUCAAGAAAGGUCCUCUUAGCUAUUGCCUUUAAACAGUGUCAAACUUCAAAAAAGGAAGGAGGUGGAAAAGGCAAAAGAAGUGGAGCAAGCAGACAAAUGCUUUGAAACUUCUCAGCUUUCACAAGAACAGCAAUUCUAGGACAACAUCAGCUACUCACAGCAAACAAGAUGAAACCCUUGAGUGAGGGAAAAUUCACCUUCCAUUUAAAAUAAAAAACCAACAUCCUCAAAAAAAAAUCCCUCUCUAGAUUCCAGUCAGAGUAAUCUCCUCCUACCAUGGAACUACCUUUUGAAAUUUACAUCAAGGAUUUUCUGAGUUCUUUGCCUCAUGGCUGUUCUUUAGCUACAGCCCAUGGCUACUAACAGUAAGUUUGGUUAGGUAGAAAUCACAACCUAAACCAGUGUCUAUGAGAGCUACCAAACUACAAUUAGUAAAGUGCUACUGAUCACUGCAUCAUAAAAAUGCUGGGCAGUGCUUGGCAGGAUUCAAGAGCUACAGCAGGGGAAGAAUGAAGAGAAGCAGCAUUGAAAAAGCUGAUCCACAAGAGCAUGAUUAUAAAAGGAAUGAAACAGAAGUGCAGGUACAGGGUGGCCAGGAUGGCUAUUUGCAUUGUUUUCCAUAUUUCUAUACUUUUACCUGGAAGUGUGAAGACAUUUUUUCAUAUCCUGAAAUUUACAUUUGUGGUGGGAAAUAAGAAAAAAUCCAAUGAAAAAAAUAAAAGGCCCCCAAAACCCCCACCCUAAACACCCCAACAACUAGACCAUGUAACAAUCUUCAUAGAAAUCCUAAUAAUUUGCCCUUUGAUGUCAAUGUUUUGUAAUAAAUACCCAUAUUAAA
This is a long non-coding RNA of Camarhynchus parvulus, 2773 nucleotides long. RefSeq lists it as uncharacterized. NCBI's taxonomy places the organism in Eukaryota, Metazoa, Chordata, Aves, Passeriformes, Thraupidae. The record is from RefSeq and is a predicted model, not a curated record. The transcript is spliced from 6 exons.